AGUAGGAUGGCUGAAGAGAGGCGUUAAAUUGUAAAUUUAUUUAUGAAAUAGGUAUUUCUCCUAU
This 64-nucleotide transfer RNA is filed under the name Chlamisus sp. N29. RNAcentral describes it as "tRNA-Tyr". Lineage: Eukaryota; Metazoa; Arthropoda; Insecta; Coleoptera; Chrysomelidae. The record is from RNAcentral.